UUGACAAUGAUUUCUAUUAAGUGUCUUUCUAUACUUAUCGCAAUGACUUCCAUCAAGUGUCUGUGUAUGAUUAUCAAAGGCCUGGCUAAUUUAAAUUUCUGGAAUAAAAAGAAACCAGCCUUUAGAAAAUCAAAACGGAAUUUUCAGACUAAAGUCAAGGAAUGUCAAAGUUAGAUUCUCCUCUACAUUGUAACCCUGGAACUGUUUCUGUGUACAGGACAAUGACCCAGCUUCAUGACUCUUCAGGUGACUCAG
This 255-nucleotide long non-coding RNA is filed under the name Mus spicilegus (steppe mouse). RNAcentral describes it as "lncRNA (ENSMSIG00000029061.1)". The record is from RNAcentral. Lineage: Eukaryota; Metazoa; Chordata; Mammalia; Rodentia; Muridae.